GGUAAGAUGACUGAAAUAAGUGGCGGAUUGUAACCCCGUAGAUGGAGGUUAUAGUCCUCCUCUUAUCA
Molecule: transfer RNA, 68 nt
Filed under: Etmopterus pusillus (smooth lanternshark)
Lineage: Eukaryota; Metazoa; Chordata; Chondrichthyes; Squaliformes; Etmopteridae
Description: tRNA-Tyr
Rfam family: tRNA
About the family: Transfer RNA (tRNA) molecules are approximately 80 nucleotides in length. Their secondary structure includes four short double-helical elements and three loops (D, anti-codon, and T loops).
Source: RNAcentral